CCUACGGGAGGCAGCAGUAGGGAAUCUUCCACAAUGGGCGAAAGCCUGAUGGAGCAACGCCGCGUGGGUGAAGAAGGUCUUCGGAUCGUAAAACCCUGUUGUUAGAGAAGAAAGUGCGUGAGAGUAACUGUUCACGUGUCGACGGUAUCUAACCAGAAAGCCACGGCUAACUACGUGCCAGCAGCCGCGGUAAUACGUAGGUGGCAAGCGUUAUUCGGAUUUAAUGGGCGUAAAGGGAACGCAGGCGGUCUUUUAAGUCUGAUGUGAAAGCCUUCGGCUUAACCGGGGUAGUGCAUUUGAAACUGGGAGACUUGAGUGCGGGAGAGGGGAGUGGAACUCCAUGUGUAGCGGUGAAAUGCGUAGAUAUAUGGAAGAACACCAGUGGCGAAGGCGGCUCUCUGGUCUGUAACUGACGCUGAGGUUCGAAAGCGUGGGUAGCAAACAGGAUUAGAUACCCUUGUAGUC
Molecule: ribosomal RNA, 465 nt
Filed under: uncultured bacterium
Lineage: Bacteria
Description: partial 16S ribosomal RNA
Rfam family: Bacterial small subunit ribosomal RNA
Source: RNAcentral